UACGUAGGUGGCAAGCGUUAUCCGGAAUUAUUGGGCGUAAAGCGCGCGCAGGUGGUUUCUUAAGUCUGAUGUGAAAGCCCACGGCUCAACCGUGGAGGGUCAUUGGAAACUGGGAGACUUGAGUGCAGAAGAGGAAAGUGGAAUUCCAUGUGUAGCGGUGAAAUGCGUAGAGAAUAUGGAGGAACACCAGUGGCGAAGGCGAGUCCCUGGAAAAUACCUGACACUGAGGCACGAAAGCUAGGGGAGCAAACAGG
This 254-nucleotide ribosomal RNA is filed under the name uncultured bacterium. Its description in RNAcentral is "partial 16S ribosomal RNA". It matches the Rfam family "Bacterial small subunit ribosomal RNA", at positions 524 to 776 of the family's 1533-position model. The record is from RNAcentral.